GGUGGCUCAGUGGUAGAGUGCUUGCCUCAUAUGCAUGAGGUCCUGGGUUCGAUUCCUCAGCACCA
RNAcentral lists this transfer RNA (65 nucleotides) under Dipodomys ordii (Ord's kangaroo rat). It matches the Rfam family "tRNA". From Rfam's summary of the family: Transfer RNA (tRNA) molecules are approximately 80 nucleotides in length. Their secondary structure includes four short double-helical elements and three loops (D, anti-codon, and T loops). Further hydrogen bonds mediate the characteristic L-shaped molecular structure. tRNAs have two regions of fundamental functional importance: the anti-codon, which is responsible for specific mRNA codon recognition, and the 3' end, to which the tRNAs corresponding amino acid is attached (by aminoacyl-tRNA synthetases). tRNAs cope with the degeneracy of the genetic code in two manners: having more than one tRNA (with a specific anti-codon) for a particular amino acid; and 'wobble' base-pairing, i.e. permitting non-standard base-pairing at the 3rd anti-codon position. The record is from Rfam by way of RNAcentral. Lineage: Eukaryota; Metazoa; Chordata; Mammalia; Rodentia; Heteromyidae.